This is a long non-coding RNA of Cavia porcellus (domestic guinea pig), 515 nucleotides long. RefSeq lists it as uncharacterized. The transcript is spliced from 3 exons. The record is from RefSeq and is a predicted model, not a curated record. Lineage: Eukaryota; Metazoa; Chordata; Mammalia; Rodentia; Caviidae.
CCUACAAUAAACCCACAGAUAAACCACCAGGGAAGAGCCAGCCAUUCAGAGACUUCAUCCCCAGACCUGCAAAGACCUGAGGAGUUGCAACAUUUCCAUCAGGUAAAAGGAACAAAACCAGGGCAGAAGAAGGAAGAAAGAAAAGCAAAAUUCACCUCCACGCUCAUAGCCACGCUCACGUGAUCGGGUGGCACUGGUUUCCAAGCAGCCGAUCGGCGCAUACACAGCAAUGCUAAUUUGUCCCCGCCUUCAUCAAUUUUCUUCAAGAAUCACCUUGACAGGCAGGACGGCACAUGCCUGUAAUCCUAGCACUCCGGGAAGCUGAGGCCACAGACUGGUAAUUUAAAGGUUUAAAGGUGUUGACAGAAAGACGCUCCCUACAGAGGAAAAUGGGUUGGCAAGUUCAGGCAACCAGCACCCACCGCGUCCCCGGCAUUCAGUUACCUGGAUGACUGUUGCAGAGGACGAGGCCGCCCCAUUGCCCUCCAGGUCCUCGUCCUGCUCCCAGAGGAAAG